Molecule: ribosomal RNA, 301 nt
Filed under: uncultured bacterium
Lineage: Bacteria
Description: partial 16S ribosomal RNA
Rfam family: Bacterial small subunit ribosomal RNA
Source: RNAcentral
CAGUCGCCGCGGUAAUACGUAGGGUGCAAGCGUUAAUCGGAAUUACUGGGCGUAAAGCGUGCGCAGGCGGUUUGUUAAGACAGAUGUGAAAUCCCCGGGCUCAACCUGGGAACUGCAUUUGUGACUGGCAAGCUAGAGUGUGGCAGAGGGGGGUGGAAUUCCGCGUGUAGCAGUGAAAUGCGUAGAUAUGCGGAGGAACACCGAUGGCGAAGGCAGCCCCCUGGGCCAACACUGACGCUCGUGCACGAAAGCGUGGGGAGCAAACAGGAUUAGAUACCCGAGUAGUCCCUGUCUCUUAUAC